UACGAAGGGUGCAAGCGUUACUCGGAAUUACUGGGCGUAAAGCGUGCGUAGGUGGUUCGUUAAGUCUGAUGUGAAAGCCCUGGGCUCAACCUGGGAAUGGCAUUGGAUACUGGCGACCUAGAGUGCGGUAGAGGGGUGUGGAAUUCCCGGUGUAGCAGUGAAAUGCGUAGAUAUCGGGAGGAAUACCAGUGGCGAAGGCGGUUCUCUGGGCCUUACCUGACGCUGAGACGCGAAAGCGUGGGGAGCGAACCGG
Molecule: ribosomal RNA, 253 nt
Filed under: uncultured bacterium
Lineage: Bacteria
Description: partial 16S ribosomal RNA
Rfam family: Bacterial small subunit ribosomal RNA
Source: RNAcentral